RNAcentral lists this ribosomal RNA (511 nucleotides) under uncultured bacterium. Its description in RNAcentral is "bacterial SSU rRNA". It matches the Rfam family "Bacterial small subunit ribosomal RNA", at positions 791 to 1301 of the family's 1533-position model. The record is from RNAcentral.
UAGUCCACGCCGUAAACGAUGUCUACUAGCCGUUGGGAAUCUUGAAUUCUUAGUGGCGCAGCUAACGCGAUAAGUAGACCGCCUGGGGAGUACGGCCGCAAGGUUAAAACUCAAAUGAAUUGACGGGGGCCCGCACAAGCGGUGGAGCAUGUGGUUUAAUUCGAUGCAACGCGAAGAACCUUACCAAGACUUGACAUCCAGAGAAUUCGCUAGAGAUAGCUUAGUGCCUUCGGGAGCUCUGUGACAGGUGCUGCAUGGCUGUCGUCAGCUCGUGUUGUGAAAUGUUGGGUUAAGUCCCGUAACGAGCGCAACCCUUGUCCUUAGUUGCCAGCGAGUAAUGUCGGGAACUCUAAGGAGACUGCCGGUGACAAACCGGAGGAAGGUGGGGACGACGUCAAGUCAUCAUGGCCCUAACGUCUUGGGCUACACACGUGCUACAAUGGGCAGUACAAAGGGCUGCAACGCCGCGAGGUUGAGCUAAUCCCAUAAACGCGGCCUCAGUUCGGAUUGC